GAUGAACGCUAGCUACAGGCUUAACACAUGCUUUUGAUGGGCGUCGACCGGCGCACGGGUGAGUAACGCGUAUCCAACCUGCCCACCACUUGGGGAUAACCUUGCGAAAGUAAGACUAAUACCCGAUGAUAUCUCUAGACGACAUCUGAAAGGGNUUAAAGAUUUAUCGGUGAUGGAUGGGGAUGCGUCUGAUUAGCUUGUUGCGGGGUAACGGCCCACCAAGGCAACGAUCAGUAGGGGUUCUGAGAGGAAGGUCCCCCACAUUGGAACUGAGACACGGUCCAAACUCCUACGGGAGGCAGCAGUGAGGAAUAUUGGUCAAUGGGCGAGAGCCUGAACCAGCCAAGUAGCGUGCAGGACGACGGCCCUAUGGGUUGUAAACUGCUUUUAUAAGGGAAUAAAGUGAGUCUCGUGAGACUUUUUGCAUGUACCUUAUGAAUAAGGACCGGCUAAUUCCGUG
This 460-nucleotide ribosomal RNA is filed under the name uncultured bacterium. Its description in RNAcentral is "bacterial SSU rRNA". It matches the Rfam family "Bacterial small subunit ribosomal RNA", at positions 28 to 507 of the family's 1533-position model. The record is from RNAcentral.